RNAcentral lists this ribosomal RNA (208 nucleotides) under uncultured bacterium. RNAcentral's name for it is "partial 16S ribosomal RNA". It matches the Rfam family "Bacterial small subunit ribosomal RNA", at positions 568 to 774 of the family's 1533-position model. The record is from RNAcentral.
CGUGUAGGCGGAUGGGAACGUCGGAACCUGAAAGCCCCCGGCUCAACCGGGGAAGCGGGGCCGAAACGACCCGUCUGGAGGGACGUAGGGGGAUCUGGAACUUCCGGUGGAGCGGUGAAAUGCGUUGAGAUCGGAAGGAACGCCCGUGGCGAAAGCGAGAUCCUGGACGUUUACUGACGCUGAGACGCGAAAGCUAGGGGAGCGAACG